This 253-nucleotide ribosomal RNA is filed under the name uncultured bacterium. RNAcentral describes it as "partial 16S ribosomal RNA". It matches the Rfam family "Bacterial small subunit ribosomal RNA", at positions 524 to 776 of the family's 1533-position model. The record is from RNAcentral.
UACAGAGGUCUCAAGCGUUGUUCGGAUUCAUUGGGCGUAAAGGGUGCGUAGGCGGCGCGGUAAGUCGGGUGUGAAAUCUUGGAGCUUAACUCCGAAACUGCACUCGAUACUGCCGUGCUUGAGGACUGGAGAGGAGACUGGAAUUUACGGUGUAGCGGUGAAAUGCGUAGAUAUCGUAAGGAAGACCAGUGGCGAAGGCGGGUCUCUGGACAGUUCCUGACGCUGAGGCACGAAGGCCAGGGGAGCAAACGGG